This 465-nucleotide ribosomal RNA is filed under the name uncultured bacterium. RNAcentral's name for it is "partial 16S ribosomal RNA". It matches the Rfam family "Bacterial small subunit ribosomal RNA", at positions 28 to 507 of the family's 1533-position model. The record is from RNAcentral.
GACGAACGCUGGCGGCGUGCUUAACACAUGCAAGUCGAACGGAAAGGCCCCUUUGGGGGUACUCGAGUGGCGAACGGGUGAGUAACACGUGAGUAACCUGCCCUUGACUUCGGGAUAACUUCAGGAAACUGGGGCUAAUACCGGAUAGGAAUCCUUGCUGCAUGGUGGGGGUUGGAAAGUUUCGGCGGUUUUGGAUGGACUCGCGGCUUAUCAGCUUGUUGGUGGGGUAGUGGCUUACCAAGGCUUUGACGGGUAGCCGGCCUGAGAGGGCGACCGGCCACAUUGGGACUGAGAUACGGCCCAGACUCCUACGGGAGGCAGAAGUGGGGAAUAUUGCACAAUGGGCGGAAGCCUGAUGCAGCAACGCCGCGUGCGGGAUGACGGCCUUCGGGUUGUAAACCGCUUUCAGCAGGGGCGAAGCUUGUGGUGACGGUACCUGCAGAAGAAGCACCGGCUAACUACGUG